AUUAAGCAUAUCAUGCCCGAGUAAUAAUAUUGAGACAGUGAUAUUUGGAAAUCAUUUGUAUGACAUCCAGACACAGUAUUAACCCUCUCAGUCUCGUCAAGAUCAACAAAAGGCUAAUAUUGAUUAAUGAGUCUAAUAAGUAGAUAAUGAUUGUUUUCAUUGCUAAUCUGCGUAUUUAUGUAGAGGUUGCUAUGAGACAAACUACAUCCGAAAUGAGGCAAGAGUGAAGUUACAGGAACAUAACAAUUAAUAAUGAAGACAUGCCUGUUCAUUCGCUAAUGGAAUUUCCCUAAAGUACCUGUUUCGAGGAGUCAAGGUCUGAAAGUCUGCUUUCAUGAUGAAAUUUGCUGUACUUGCCAUAAUGCUUUUGGUUACUGUGCCUGAAACUCACUCUGGCCGUCGUCACUAUCAUGGAAGCUACUCUGACAGUGAUGAGAGGUUCUAUCUUGCCCUGAUCCCAACAUUUCACUGGUAUCGACCGAGGCCAGUGCCUCCCCGACUUCAGUUCCCUCUCUGGCCCUUCUUCCCUGGAUUACUGCCCCAGCCGGCCCCUGCUCCUAUCCCAGCACCAAGUCCUGGACCAAGUCCCAGCCAGACCACCACUGCCCCCGCCACCACUAGUAAGAGGGGAGAUAACGGAUAAACAGGAACAUCUCAGAACCGGACCAAUACCAACCCAAUGGAUCUUCUUUUGGACUAUAUGUUUUUAUUCUAAAACCACAAUAGUACAUUCAAUAACAACAUAUUAUACUUUAUUCAUAAAAAAAUCUGGGUGAAAUUGUGUAUCUUCUUGUUUCAAGUUUUGUUUAAUGUUCAUUUUUGUUUAUUGAAUUUAAUUCAGCUGUAUUAAUCACACUUUAUUAUUUGUGCAUUUCUAUAUAUUUGCAAUUUUGUUAACUAUUCAUUGGAAUUUGAUUUUCUGGUUCAUCUUAUUGUCUUUGUGUGGAUUCAUGUUGAAGAUCUGCUUUUCUUAAUAUGUGUACAUCUCAAUGUAUAUAGUGGUAAGUAUCUUUUUAUACACUGUAUUAUUUUUAUAUUUUCCUACAAUCAUUUAAAUUUGACAUCAACAUUUUAUUUUGUGACAGCCAUAAAGGUGUGGACUAUAUGAGUCAAGGUAAUCAUAAGAUUAAAGGCUACUGGGUGGGUCUGGCGUUUUGUCUGAUUUCACACAGGAUUAUACCUAUGUGUUGGCAACACCCCUGGAUUAGACCUACAGCAUGGACACACACCAAUAUCAUUGGAUUAACAGAGAUUAGGUCUAAACUCACUGUUGAUGCUGUAAUACCUUCUUGUCAUGACUCAGAUGUCUCUUUCUGCAAUGGCUGAUGGCAGAAGCAAGAUAGCCUACACCUACAGUCAGCAUUAAAUGCUAAUCAUUCUUCUUACAGUAAACUCCAGCACACUGGUAUUCUAGAAUAUCAACAACAAUCUUAAAGGCGCAGCGCAGUCAAAAACUCAAUUAUCCUGUGUUUUAUAUUUCCACACUAUGAUUUUGGAAUAAUACUGUGAAAUUGUGAAAAUUAUGACGAUGCCCUUUUAGUGAAAGAGCAGUUUGAAAAGACCACCUGGAAUUUCUGCCUGUUUUGGUGGGAUAGAGGUUUGCCUUGCCUGGUGACAUCACCAGGUGGUAAAUUACUUAAUAGACAAUAAGAAAGAGAGUUCCAAACGUCUCUGCCAAUAACAGCUAGUUUUCAUGUUCUCCUCCCCGCUCAGACCACUCUGGAGAAAUUGCUCUUUGCUAGGAAGCAAUUUUAGUUCUUUUGACAAUUUGUAUUGAAAGAAAUCACAGUAAAGUACUUAAUUGUUACCCAUAAAUGAUUUGAUUUUGAGAUAACAACGUCUGCAUUGGACCUUUAAAAUACUCCACAAUCAAUUUAGGCUAAAGGAUCUUAAAUAGACUCAUAACUCUGCUUAACCCUGAUGAACAUCUUGACAGAAACGUGAUAAGAUCUAAUGAAUUGUUUUUAGAGAAUUCUAGAAAUACCAGUGUCCUAGAGUUUCUUUUCAACUACUGUACAUAGUGUACGUUUUUCCUCCAUGCACCUGAAACUAUAUAAGGUGUGCAGACUACCCUCUUUCUUGCUUAUGACUUUCAGUGAUGUCCGUUUGUUAAGUAUGAUCAAGUGUAAUCAAUACCAUGAUCAGAAACAGACGAUACAGUGACUUUAUGUCUUAUUAAGGCCAGGCACCACAGGCUGAAAUUACAUUUUUGCAUUUGCCUAGAUUUUUUAUUUUGGUCUGAAAAGUAAAAAUACAAAUGUCAUCAACAUUUUUAUAAUUUCUGCCACUUACAUUUUGUUUACAUACAUAAAUAAUUUGAAUUAGAUAUCAUUUCAAAGCCCAUUUCAUAGAGAAUGUUACAAACUGGACCAAUGUUUACUCUGGAAAAAUGUGUACUGUAGCAUUGGGGAAAAGGAGUGGGGGGAAAAGGUAAUGUGGUAAAAAGGUAAAUGGUAAAUGUUUUAUUACCGUAGCAUUAUUAUAUGUUCUCUAUAUUUAUGUACUUGAAAAUGUAUAAAUUGAGAAUUCAGCACACAUCUUGUGGACAAAAUCUGAAUGACACUUAGGCUCCUACCUUAUUGUAUGGCCUUUCGCUUGCAUUUCAAAGACGAUGGAACAAAAAAAAAGAAAAGGCCAGUUUUUUUGUAUUAGAUCUAAUGUGUUAUAUUCUCCUACAUUAAUUUCACAUUUCCACAAACUUCAAAGUGUUUCCUUUCAAAUGGUAUCAAGAAUAUACAUAUCCUUGCUUCAGGUCCUGAGCUAUAGGCAGUUAGAUUUGGUUAUGUCAUUUUUGGAGAAAAUUGAAAAAAAGGGUUCCAUCCUUAAGAUUAAGUCAGUGGGCUAUUACUGUGUUGUAGCAUUUAUAUAUAUAUAUGUCACGACUUCCGCCGAAGUCGGUUCCUCUCCUUGUUCGGGCGGCGUUCGGCGUUCGGCGGUCGACAUCGCCGGAUUUCUAGCCAUCGCCGAUCCACCUUUCAUUUUUCCAUUUGUCUUGUCUUCUUUCCCUUCACGCCCUGGUUUCAAUCCCCUCAGUAUUAGAUGUGUAUAUAACCCUCUGUUCCCCCCAUGUCUGUGUGUGGAAUUGUUUGUUGUUUCGUGUAUGUACACGCUAGACUGGUUUGCGCUGGGUUAUGUCAACCCAUAUUGUGUUUAGUGUUCUUAGUGCCGUGUGUUUUGUUCGCCGAAAUAAAAGGCUCCUUUGGCUACCCAA
This is a long non-coding RNA of Salmo salar (Atlantic salmon), 3211 nucleotides long. RefSeq lists it as uncharacterized. NCBI's taxonomy places the organism in Eukaryota, Metazoa, Chordata, Actinopteri, Salmoniformes, Salmonidae. The record is from RefSeq and is a predicted model, not a curated record.